UAAAUUCGCCUUGGUAAAUGCAUGGAAACCAAAAGUGAAAAAUGAACUGGUUCGGAAUUGCACAACGGGGUCAUGGUAACCCCGGACAGCCUCGAACAUUCUUUUGACAUUCCUCCUUGCACUGCGGCAAAUUCCCGGUGGAAGAGUAACGGAACCAGUCCAAAUGACGCAGUGCCCGUUAUUCUUCCAACGGGAAUAACUAAUUUCCCGCAGUGCAAAGGUAUAAAAACCCGCUGGCAACCCCACGAUCGGCCAUUUGUAUGUCAUUCAACAGCGAAGUGCGGAACAGCCGGAAAAAAAUGAAACAUAUAUUUUCAUUCAGCCGGUUAAAGUGAAGCAGUGAAAAAAUAAAACAAUUUCAAUUAAAAUUAAAAGAAAAGUGUCUAAAAAGAACAGUUAAAUCGCUCUAACGCGAUAAAGUGGAAAAAAGGAAAAUAAAUUUAAAACAAUAGAAAAACCAAAAACGAAAACAAUUUUUUUUUUUGCUAAAACGUGCAGUGCAGGAAGCGGGGAGUUUUGAGCAGCUAAGGCGCAUCCCGUAUCCGUGCACCAUCGGGACAACGACACCUUUACCUCAACAGCGGCAAGCUGCGAGAACGAGCUCGCAGUUGCCUUUUGCUCGCCCGCCAGAAGCGCCCAGAGGAACCAGCGUGCUCCACAAUUUCGCGUCAGCGCGCCCAAGCCCGACCGACGCACUACUAUUGUGCGCCGGAAGCUCCAUCGCACUCCACGCUCCCUCCGCAGCCGCAGCACCACGGCAACACCAAGGAAACCAAUCUGGCGCUCCAGCAGCACACACAUCCAUUUGUCCGCAACCGCAGGGUGGCAAAUACAACGCACAGUCCUCUAUCUGCUAACACUGGAUUAGGUACUGCCCCAGUCCGCACACCGCCCAGCACGGUAUCCACGACGCCGCCACAGUAGCGGCUACUGUAACAGCGCACACGUAACACGCGCUAUAGGAAGCAGCAAGAACCGCCACAGUAGCGAGUACAGCAGCGCGCUACAGCGACAAAUAAAACGCGCAACAACGUGCGCAGGCAACAACAUCCGCCACAGCAGCGGGUGCAACAACGCGCGGAAGCAACACCGCGCCAUCGACAACAACAACCGCCACAGCAGGGUGCAACAACGCGCGACUACAGCACCGCGCUACAGCGACAAAUAAAACGCGCAACAACGUGCGCAGGCAACAACAUCCGCCACAGCAGCGGGUGCAACAACGCGCGGAAGCAACACCGAGCCAUCCACAACAACAACCGCCACAGCAGCGGGUGCAACAAUGCCCGCCACAGCAGCGUGGACAACAGCGCGCAACACCAACAACAACAGCGCACAACGCUAACAGCAACAGCGCACAACGCUAACAGCAACAGCGCUCAACACCAGCAACAACAGCGCACAACCCCAGCGACUACAACAACAGCAGGCCACAUCCAAGCCUGCUGCAACAAGGGUGAGUCCUUCGGGCCUAAACUAAGUUUUUUUUUCAAUAAAAAAAAAUAAUAAUAAAUAAUACUAAAAAAAAAAA
This is a long non-coding RNA of Rhagoletis pomonella (apple maggot), 1531 nucleotides long. RefSeq lists it as uncharacterized. Lineage: Eukaryota; Metazoa; Arthropoda; Insecta; Diptera; Tephritidae. The transcript is spliced from 2 exons. The record is from RefSeq and is a predicted model, not a curated record.